AAUAUUGCACAAUGGGCGAAAGCCUGAUGCAGCAACGCCGCGCGAGUGAUGAAGGCAUUCGGGUCGUAAAGCUCUUUGAUCAGGGAUGAUAAUGACAGUACCUGAAAAACAAGCCACGGCUAACUACGUGCCAGCAGCCGCGGCAAUACGUAGGAUGCGUGCGUUGUCCGGAAGUACUGGGCGUAAAGGAUGCGUAGGUGGAUAUUUAAGUGGGAUGUGAAAUCCCCGGGCUCAACCCGGGAACUGCAUUCCAAACUGGAAAUCUAGAGUGCAGGAGAGGAAAGCGGAAUUCCUAGUGUAGCGGUGAAAAGAGUAGAUAUUAGGAGGAACACCAGUGGCGAAGGCGGCUUUCUGGACUGUAACUGACACUGAGGCAUGAAAGCGUGGGUAGCAAACAGG
Molecule: ribosomal RNA, 399 nt
Filed under: uncultured bacterium
Lineage: Bacteria
Description: partial 16S ribosomal RNA
Rfam family: Bacterial small subunit ribosomal RNA
Source: RNAcentral